UCCAAGUGUCUUUAUAGUUCAUGGCAUGUGUGCGUUUAAUGCCGGUUUUAUUUAUAUUAAAUUCCCUGAUGCUCUUGAACCUCAAGACACAGCGGCUUACACAGCGUUAACCUGACGUGGUUUGAUUGCAGCGGGUCAUGUGUGUUCCAUGGCAUCAGAAUAUCCUGAGCUGGAACGGACCCUCAGGGAUCAUCCAGUGCGACAGAUCUGAUGGAGCGCUUUAAGGGAUGGAUGCUGCUCUUUGCAGAGUUCCUCAUGAGACCGUGUCAGACCUCCCUGCAAUCAUCUCUCCAAUUUGUGGCUGUUCCCCUGAACUUCAAAGGGGAAAAUGCCUGAUGUUGGUGCUGGAAGGGACAAGGCACUGCCCAAACUGAACCUCAGCAGAAGGUUCCUUCCAAGAGCCUCCUCCCUGGCGCUGUCUGCUCUGCAGCUCCUUUCCCGAGAUGAAAGAGGCCCGUGGAAGAAAACGAACCCCAAAUUUUAAUCUUUCCACGAAUGGUCUUGGGGCACUUUACAGCUCCACUUCCUCAAGGGAGGGGACUUUUCCCCCAGCUCUAGAUUAGGUUUGUCCCCAGCACUGAUGCUCAGUGCUCUCUGCAGCUGCAGGCAGAAAGAAUUUCGCUCCAGGAUGUUCAACAACAACACGAAGCAAACAAGGCCCAAGACAUCAGGUUUGUUGUGGGCUUGGAUGUAACAUCAUAAUCCUUGUCACAAGUCAGAUCAGAAUAAAGCACUGGCAACUCCUGAAGUUAAAUGACA
Long non-coding RNA from Myiozetetes cayanensis, 759 nucleotides. RefSeq lists it as uncharacterized. The transcript is spliced from 4 exons. Lineage: Eukaryota; Metazoa; Chordata; Aves; Passeriformes; Tyrannidae. The record is from RefSeq and is a predicted model, not a curated record.